GGUUGUGGCUCAGUGGUAGAGCGCUCGCCUCGUGUUGCGAGACCUUGGGUUCGAUCCUUAGCACCA
This 66-nucleotide transfer RNA is filed under the name Marmota monax (woodchuck). RNAcentral describes it as "tRNA.Thr". Lineage: Eukaryota; Metazoa; Chordata; Mammalia; Rodentia; Sciuridae. The record is from RNAcentral.